Molecule: ribosomal RNA, 707 nt
Filed under: Arthrobacter sp. SMCC B0632
Lineage: Bacteria; Bacillati; Actinomycetota; Actinomycetes; Micrococcales; Micrococcaceae
Description: bacterial SSU rRNA
Rfam family: Bacterial small subunit ribosomal RNA
Source: RNAcentral
CAGGAUGAACGCUGGCGGCGUGCUUAACACAUGCAAGUCGAACGAUGAUGCCCACUUGUGGGUGGAUUAGUGGCGAACGGGUGAGUAACACGUGAGUAACCUGCCCUUGACUCUGGGAUAAGCCUGGGAAACUGGGUCUAAUACCGGAUAUGACCUUCCAUCGCAUGGUGGUUGGUGGAAAGCUUUUGUGGUUUUGGAUGGACUCGCGGCCUAUCAGCUUGUUGGUGGGGUAAUGGCCUACCAAGGCGACGACGGGUAGCCGGCCUGAGAGGGUGACCGGCCACACUGGGACUGAGACACGGCCCAGACUCCUACGGGAGGCAGCAGUGGGGAAUAUUGCACAAUGGGCGCAAGCCUGAUGCAGCGACGCCGCGUGAGGGAUGACGGCCUUCGGGUUGUAAACCUCUUUCAGUAGGGAAGAAGCGUAAGUGACGGUACCUGCAGAAGAAGCGCCGGCUAACUACGUGCCAGCAGCCGCGGUAAUACGUAGGGCGCAAGCGUUAUCCGGAAUUAUUGGGCGUAAAGAGCUCGUAGGCGGUUUGUCGCGUCUGCCGUGAAAGUCCGGGGCUCAACUCCGGAUCUGCGGUGGGUACGGGCAGACUAGAGUGAUGUAGGGGAGACUGGAAUUCCUGGUGUAGCGGUGAAAUGCGCAGAUAUCAGGAGGAACACCGAUGGCGAAGGCAGGUCUCUGGGCAUUAACUGACGCU